UACCAGCACCCCGAGUGGUCGGGACGUUUAUUGGGCCUAAAGCAUCCGUAGCCGGUUCUGCAAGUCUUCCGUUAAAUCCACCUGCUCAACAGAUGGGCUGCGGAAGAUACUAUGGAGCUAGGAGGCGGGAGAGGCAAGCGGUACUCGAUGGGUAGGGGUAAAAUCCGUUGAUCCAUUGAAGACCACCAGUGGCGAAGGCGGCUUGCCAGAACGCGCUCGACGGUGAGGGAUGAAAGCUGGGGGAGCAAACCGG
Molecule: ribosomal RNA, 253 nt
Filed under: uncultured bacterium
Lineage: Bacteria
Description: partial 16S ribosomal RNA
Rfam family: Archaeal small subunit ribosomal RNA
Source: RNAcentral